Molecule: unclassified non-coding RNA, 233 nt
Filed under: Paraglomus occultum
Lineage: Eukaryota; Fungi; Glomeromycota; Glomeromycetes; Paraglomerales; Paraglomeraceae
Description: partial contains 5.8S ribosomal RNA and internal transcribed spacer 2
Source: RNAcentral
GUGAAUCAUCGAAUUUUUGAACGCAAAUUGCGCCUUUUUCGGAAAGCAUGUCUGUUUGAGGGCACCAUUUAACAAAUAAUGUGCAGCGGUUUUUGUUGCAUACGUUGAUGAGCUUUCCAAGAAUUUUAAAUUUUUGGUGGCGCAUAAUGAACAGCGUGAAUGUUUUUUUCAGUCUGAGCGUAGUAAAGUCUUUGCUUGUGUUGUGAUAAAACAUAAUCGCGCAUUGGGUGUGG